GAUGAACGCUGGCGGCGUGCCUAAUACAUGCAAGUCGAGCGAACAGACGAGGAGCUUGCUCCUCUGACGUUAGCGGCGGACGGGUGAGUAACACGUGGAUAACCUACCUAUAAGACUGGGAUAACUUCGGGAAACCGGAGCUAAUACCGGAUAAUAUAUUGAACCGCAUGGUUCAAUAGUGAAAGACGGUUUUGCUGUCACUUAUAGAUGGAUCCGCGCCGCAUUAGCUAGUUGGUAAGGUAACGGCUUACCAAGGCGACGAUGCGUAGCCGACCUGAGAGGGUGAUCGGCCACACUGGAACUGAGACACGGUCCAGACUCCUACGGGAGGCAGCAGUAGGGAAUCUUCCGCAAUGGGCGAAAGCCUGACGGAGCCACGCCGCGUGAGUGAUGAAGGUCUUCGGAUCGUAAAACUCUGUUAUUAGGGAAGAACAAAUGUGUAAGUAACUAUGCACGUCUUGACGGUACCUACUCAGAAAGCCACGGCUAACUACGUG
RNAcentral lists this ribosomal RNA (497 nucleotides) under uncultured bacterium. RNAcentral describes it as "partial 16S ribosomal RNA". It matches the Rfam family "Bacterial small subunit ribosomal RNA", at positions 28 to 507 of the family's 1533-position model. The record is from RNAcentral.